AUUGAACGCUGGCGGCAGGCCUAACACAUGCAAGUCGAGCGGAUGAAGGGAGCUUGCUCCUGGAUUCAGCGGCGGACGGGUGAGUAAUGCCUAGGAAUCUGCCUGGUAGUGGGGGAUAACGUCCGGAAACGGGCGCUAAUACCGCAUACGUCCUGAGGGAGAAAGUGGGGGAUCUUCGGACCUCACGCUAUCAGAUGAGCCUAGGUCGGAGUAGCUAGUUGGUGGGGUAAAGGCCUACCAAGGCGACGAUCCGUAACUGGUCUGAGAGGAUGAUCAGUCACACUGGAACUGAGACACGGUCCAGAGUACUACGGGAGGCAGCAGUGGGGAAUAUUGGACAAUGGGCGAAAGCCUUAUCCAGCCAGGCCGCGUGUGUGAAGAAGGUCUUCGGAUUGUAAAGCACUUUAAGGUGGGAGGAAGGGCAGUAAGUUAAUACCUUGCUGUUUUGACGUUACCAACAGAAUAAGCACCGGCUAACUUCGUG
RNAcentral lists this ribosomal RNA (484 nucleotides) under uncultured bacterium. Its description in RNAcentral is "partial 16S ribosomal RNA". It matches the Rfam family "Bacterial small subunit ribosomal RNA", at positions 30 to 507 of the family's 1533-position model. The record is from RNAcentral.